GAUCCUGGCUCAGGAUGAACGCUGGCGGCGUGCCUAAUACAUGCAAGUCGAGCGAACGGACGAGAAGCUUGCUUCUCUGAUGUUAGCGGCGGACGGGUGAGUAACACGUGGAUAACCUACCUAUAAGACUGGGAUAACUUCGGGAAACCGGAGCUAAUACCGGAUAAUAUUUUGAACCGCAUGGUUCAAAAGUGAAAGACGGUCUUGCUGUCACUUAUAGAUGGAUCCGCGCUGCAUUAGCUAGUUGGUAAGGUAACGGCUUACCAAGGCAACGAUGCAUAGCCGACCUGAGAGGGUGAUCGGCCACACUGGAACUGAGACACGGUCCAGACUCCUACGGGAGGCAGCAGUAGGGAAUCUUCCGCAAUGGGCGAAAGCCUGACGGAGCAACGCCGCGUGAGUGAUGAAGGUCUUCGGAUCGUAAAACUCUGUUAUUAGGGAAGAACAUAUGUGUAAGUAACUGCGCACAUCUUGACGGUACCUAAUCAGAAAGCCACGGCUAACUACGUGCCAGCAGCCGCGGUAAUACGUAGGUGGCAAGCGUUAUCCGGAAUUAUUGGGCGUAAAGCGCGCGUAGGCGGUUUUUUAAGUCUGAUGUGAAAGCCCACGGCUCAACCGUGGAGGGUCAUUGGAAACUGGAAAACUUGAGUGCAGAAGAGGAAAGUGGAAUUCCAUGUGUAGCGGUGAAAUGCGCAGAGAUAUGGAGGAACACCAGUGGCGAAGGCGACUUUCUGGUCUGUAACUGACGCUGAUGUGCGAAAGCGUGGGGAUCAAACAGGAUUAGAUACCCUGGUAGUCCACGCCGUAAACGAUGAGUGCUAAGUGUUAGGGGGUUUCCGCCCCUUAGUGCUGCAGCUAACGCAUUAAGCACUCCGCCUGGGGAGUACGACCGCAAGGUUGAAACUCAAAGGAAUUGACGGGGACCCGCACAAGCGGUGGAGCAUGUGGUUUAAUUCGAAGCAACGCGAAGAACCUUACCAAAUCUUGACAUCCUUUGACAACUCUAGAGAUAGAGCCUUCCCCUUCGGGGGACAAAGUGACAGGUGGUGCAUGGUUGUCGUCAGCUCGUGUCGUGAGAUGUUGGGUUAAGUCCCGCAACGAGCGCAACCCUUAAGCUUAGUUGCCAU
RNAcentral lists this ribosomal RNA (1127 nucleotides) under Staphylococcus aureus. Its description in RNAcentral is "bacterial SSU rRNA". It matches the Rfam family "Bacterial small subunit ribosomal RNA", at positions 15 to 1121 of the family's 1533-position model. The record is from RNAcentral. Lineage: Bacteria; Bacillati; Bacillota; Bacilli; Caryophanales; Staphylococcaceae.